CUGGAUGUGCUUUUGCAUACUGUGCAGAUGUUAGCAGCGUUAACACCAGCUCUACAGCCGUCACACCAGCGACCCUCUCUACAGCUACUCUGCCUGACCCCUGCUACAACUACACUGUGCUGGACAAUCCAUGGAGAGCCAACAGCAGUCAGCCAUCAAACUCC
Long non-coding RNA from Carassius auratus (goldfish), 164 nucleotides. RefSeq lists it as uncharacterized. The record is from RefSeq and is a predicted model, not a curated record. The transcript has 3 exons. Lineage: Eukaryota; Metazoa; Chordata; Actinopteri; Cypriniformes; Cyprinidae.